RNAcentral lists this small nuclear RNA (63 nucleotides) under Cervus elaphus hippelaphus. Lineage: Eukaryota; Metazoa; Chordata; Mammalia; Artiodactyla; Cervidae. The record is from RNAcentral.
AGAGAAGAUUGGCAUAGCCCCUGUGCAAGGAUGACACAUACAUUUGUGAAGUGUUCCAUAUUU